This 758-nucleotide ribosomal RNA is filed under the name Elatonitor suturalis. RNAcentral describes it as "partial large subunit ribosomal RNA". The record is from RNAcentral. Lineage: Eukaryota; Metazoa; Mollusca; Gastropoda; Stylommatophora; Helicarionidae.
GGUUAUUAAAAUUUUACUGCAAAGAAAUUUACUUUUAAUAAGUUAUAUACCUUUUGCAUAAUGGUUUAAUAAUAAAUAAUUAAAAUUUAUAUUCCCGAAAUUAGAAGAUCUAAUUUUAUUAUUUUAUUAGAAAUAAUAAUGUUUCAAAAUUAUACAUAAGUACAAUUAGGGGUGAAAGGCUUAUCAAUUCUAAUGAUAUCUGGAAUAAUUUUAAAUGUAUUUAGUACAAAGUAAAGUUGAAUAAAAAAAUGUUAAGAUUUUUUUAAAAAGAAUAUAAAUUUUUAUUAUGAAUUAAUCUUCCAAUACUUAUUUCUAUAUAAUUAUUAAUUUAUUUAUCUUAUAUAAAAUUAUAUUAUAAUUUCUUAAUAAUUGAUUAUGUUAAAAUUAGUAUAAUAUUUAUGUUGUUAUAAAGAACUCGGCUAAUUAUUCAUCUGUUUAUCAAAACCUGCCCAGUGAAUAAUUUUAACGGCCGCAGUACUUUGACUGUGCUAAGGUAGCAUAAUAAAUUGACUUUUAAUUGGGGCCUUGAAUGAAUGGAUAGAUAAUUUCUGUUUCUAAUAAUACAUUAUAAAUUACUUAAAAGGUGAAAAUUCCUUUAAUAUAUUAAAUAGACGAGAAGACCCUAGGAGUUUUAAUUUUGUUGGGGCGACAAUAUAGCAAAACCUAUAUAUAACGAUAUAUAACGAAUAAUAUUAAUAAUAAUAAACUACCCUAGGGAUAACAGCAUAAUUUAUUAAGUUUGUGACCUCGAUGUUGGA